CCGGAGAAAGGUGGGGAUGACGUCAAGUCGUCAUUGCCCUUACGACAUGGGCUACACACGUGAUACAAUGGUCGGUGCAAAGGGAUACCAAGCCGAAAGGUGGAGCUAAUCCCAUAAAACCGAUCGUAGUCCGGAUAGCAGUCGGCAACUCGACUGCGUAAAGUCGGAAUCGCUAGUAAUCGCGGAUCAGAAUGUCACGGUGAAUACGUUCCCGGGACUUGACACCCGCCCGUCACACCAUGGGAGUGGGUUGCUCCAGAAGUAGCUACUCUCAUCUCCAAAGGGACGGUUACCACGGAGUGAUUCAUGACUGGGGUGAAGUCGUAACAAAGGUAGCCCGUANAGAAAACCCUUCGUC
This 358-nucleotide ribosomal RNA is filed under the name Pseudomonas sp. IND2. Its description in RNAcentral is "bacterial SSU rRNA". It matches the Rfam family "Bacterial small subunit ribosomal RNA", at positions 1163 to 1533 of the family's 1533-position model. The record is from RNAcentral. Lineage: Bacteria; Pseudomonadati; Pseudomonadota; Gammaproteobacteria; Pseudomonadales; Pseudomonadaceae.